RNAcentral lists this ribosomal RNA (401 nucleotides) under uncultured bacterium. RNAcentral describes it as "bacterial SSU rRNA". It matches the Rfam family "Bacterial small subunit ribosomal RNA", at positions 355 to 773 of the family's 1533-position model. The record is from RNAcentral.
UAGGGAAUCUUGCGCAAUGCGCGAAAGCCUGACGCAGCCAUGCCGCGUGAAUGAUGAAGGUCUUAGGAUUGUAAAAUUCUUUCACCGGGGAAGAUAAUGACGGUACCCGGAGAAGAAGCCCCGGCUAACUUCGUGCCAGCAGCCGCGGUAAUACGAAGGGGGCUAGCGUUGCUCGGAAUUACUGGGCGUAAAGGGCGCGUAGGCGGAUAUCUAAGUUGGGGGUGAAAUCCCGGGGCUCAACCUCGGAAUUGCCUUCAAAACUGGAUAUCUUGAGUUCGGGAGAGGUGAGUGGAACUCCGAGUGUAGAGGUGAAAUUCGUAGAUAUUCGGAAGAACACCAGUGGCGAAGGCGACUCACUGGCCCGAUACUGACGCUGAGGCGCGAAAGCGUGGGGAGCAAAC